This 459-nucleotide ribosomal RNA is filed under the name uncultured bacterium. RNAcentral's name for it is "partial 16S ribosomal RNA". It matches the Rfam family "Bacterial small subunit ribosomal RNA", at positions 338 to 795 of the family's 1533-position model. The record is from RNAcentral.
CCUACGGGGGGCAGCAGUGAGGAAUAUUGGUCAAUGGGCGAGAUCCUGAACCAGCAAAGCCGCGUGAGGGAAGACGGCCCUAUGGAUUGUAAACCUCUUUUGUCGGGGAGCAAAACACGACACGUUUUGCGGACUGCGUGUCUCCGAAGAAAAAGCAUCGGCUAACUCCGUGCCAGCAGCCGCGGUAAUACGGGGGAUGCGAGCGUUAUCCGGAUUUAUUGGGUUUAAAGGGUGCGUAGGCGGUAGGUUACGUCAGCGUUAAAAUUGAGUGGCUCAAACCCGUCGAGCCGUUGAAACUGGAUGACUUGAGUUAGCGAGAAGUAUGCGGAAUGCGCGGUGUAGCGGUGAAAUGCAUAGAUAUCACGCAGAACUCCGAUUGCGAAGGCAGCGUACCGGCGCCAGACUGACGCUGAGGCACGAAAGCGUGGGGAUCGAACAGGAUUAGAUACCCUAGUAGUC